This 218-nucleotide ribosomal RNA is filed under the name uncultured bacterium. RNAcentral's name for it is "partial 16S ribosomal RNA". It matches the Rfam family "Bacterial small subunit ribosomal RNA", at positions 328 to 539 of the family's 1533-position model. The record is from RNAcentral.
ACGCUCGACACCUACGGGAGGCAGCAGUGAGGAAUAUUGGUCAAUGGGCGCAGGCCUGAACCAGCCAAGUAGCGUGAAGGAUGACUGCCCUAUGGGUUGUAAACUUCUUUUAUAUGGGAAUAAAGUUUUCCACGUGUGGAAUUUUGUAUGUACCAUAUGAAUAAGGAUCGGCUAACUCCGCGCCAGCAGCCGCGGUAAUCUGAGCGGGCUGGCAAGGC